GAAAAGUUCAUUUGUGUUUUCCUUCAGUUUCAGUAUCUUUAGUUAAACAGCGUUACACUGGGCCACACACAGAACCCCCUUGAGAGAAGAAUGUAAGUGUGAGCCCCUCUAAAAUCCGGAUGUACAUACAUACAUACAUACAUACACAGAGACACAGACGCAAACACAGAUACACACACAGACACACAGUAAAACUGACCACACGAACUGACCAAAAAGCAAGUCGUACACUUAAAUGUAUUAUAAAGUUAGUUAUACAACAAUAUCUGUAUCUGUAUAUGUAUAUGUACUUGUACUAUUAUUUCCUAAAGUCGAAAGCAGAGAUAUUCGAAAGAUACGUUUUCAAAGCAGCAUUCAAAAGCAGCGCAAAGCCAUCACGAAAAGCACAAAUCAGUAGGAAAGGCGAAAUGACGCCAAACAAAACAAAACAAAAACAAAAAAUAAUAUUAAAUAGGUAACAAUAACAUAAAGACGAUGGAAGCAAGAUGAAGCCAUAAAGAUAAUGUAGCAGUCCAUGCAUAAAUGCAUUUAGAAACCAGAGAAGAGCAUCCGAACAACCGAUCUACCAGUAUAGCAGUGCGAGAUUUGAAACGGCGGAAACCUGAAACAAAUCUUGAUUGGAAGAGAUCGAUGUCAUCACAAAGGGUAUUCACUAUAGUGUUAUGCAUGCGUAUACAUAUGUGUAUAUGUAUGUGUGUAGGGCGCACGAUCGAGAGGUUCUGGACAGUCGGUGUCUGUGUAGAGAAAUGAAUAGCGACAAAUACAAGAUAUAGAAAUAUGCGUUAAAGGUACAAGCCACCUAAAAUAUAGGACAAUGUUUGAUGUUGAUAUGAGUUAAUCUGGCCACAUAGCGUGCGCAUUAUAUGCAUAUACGAGUAUACAUACAUAUACAUACAUACAACUCGAGUACAAUCCCAGGAGCAGAAUCAUUUUAUAUGCCAGGUAUGCCCGGUAUGCCCGGUAUGCCCGGUAUGCCCGGUAUCCUAGGCGAGCUGGGAAGUACCCUAGACAUUUAUACAUAACCAUCAAGAGCACCGCAUAGUAUGAAGAUACCAUACGAUAUAUAAAUAAUUACAUAAAUAAACAAUAUACAUGCAUACGAACGGCAUCCAUACUCCAUCUGGGAGUAGCGAUGGAGUAGCCAUCUCUCAGUUCAGAAUCUACAAUACCUACACUCACUCAGCACCAUACCACUCGCGGAUAUCAUUUUAUGACUCUUUCCGGAGUUUUGUUGUUUAUGAUAAACUGUUUAUAGAUGUUUUUGAAUUUUAAAUAAAUUAUAUUUACUAUAUGGCAAAGGCAAAUAAUACCUAAUACCUAAACAAAAAUAAAAACAAAAACAAAACCAUAUGCGUGCGAAGCCAUAUAUGAUAGUAAUGUAUGUAUGUAUGUUUUAAAUGCUAAUACAAACGAAUCUUGAAUUGAGGCUUUGCGGGAAGCGUCGAACGAAUGAAUAUUACUGAAUAAACUGCAUAUAUAAACAUACGAUAAUGCAACUGUAUUGCAAGACAAGUAUAUCAUUUUAUUUCAAAGGCAAAUGAAUUUAACACAGGCCAACACGCCCCCCCCAGACACACCCCCCAUAUAGAUACACACACUCCUAUAUAGGGUAAGCGGUAAGCGGCAGAUCGACUGAUCGAUCACACACGGUUCCAGCAGUCGCGCCGUGUCACGAUCCAUUGCAAAUACCAAUGUAACCCACACACACGAAACUCAAGAACUAACAUAUGUGAAAUGAAACGAGGAAUGUUUAUAAACAAUAAACAAAUGUUUGAAAACUA
Molecule: long non-coding RNA, 1781 nt
Organism: Drosophila persimilis
Lineage: Eukaryota; Metazoa; Arthropoda; Insecta; Diptera; Drosophilidae
Exons: 2
Source: RefSeq, a predicted model, not a curated record